RNAcentral lists this ribosomal RNA (468 nucleotides) under uncultured bacterium. RNAcentral describes it as "partial 16S ribosomal RNA". It matches the Rfam family "Bacterial small subunit ribosomal RNA", at positions 28 to 507 of the family's 1533-position model. The record is from RNAcentral.
GACGAACGCUGGCGGCGUGCUUAACACAUGCAAGUCGAACGGAAAGGCCCUGCUUUUGUGGGGUGCUCGAGUGGCGAACGGGUGAGUAACACGUGAGUAACCUGCCCUUGACUUUGGGAUAACUUCAGGAAACUGGGGCUAAUACCGGAUAGGAGCUCCUGCUGCAUGGUGGGGGUUGGAAAGUUUCGGCGGUUGGGGAUGGACUCGCGGCUUAUCAGCUUGUUGGUGGGGUAGUGGCUUACCAAGGCUUUGACGGGUAGCCGGCCUGAGAGGGUGACCGGCCACAUUGAGACUGAGAUACGGACCAGACUCAUACGGGAGGCAGAAGUGGGGAAUAUUGCACAAUGGGCGGAAGCCUGAGGCAGCAACGCCGCGUGCGGGAUGACGGCCUUCGGGUUGUAAACCGCUUUCGCCUGUGACGAAGCGUGAGUGACGGUAAUGGGUAAAGAAGCACCGGCUAACUACGUG